UACGGGGGGGGCAAGCGUUGUUCGGAAUUACUGGGCGUAAAGGGCGCGUAGGCGGCCUGUUAAGUCAGACGUGAAAUCCCUCGGCUCAACCGGGGAACUGCGUCUGAUACUGGCGGGCUUGAAUUCGGGAGAGGGAUGUGGAAUUCCAGGUGUAGCGGUGAAAUGCGUAGAUAUCUGGAGGAACACCGGUGGCGAAGGCGGCAUCCUGGACCGACAUUGACGCUGAGGCGCGAAAGCCAGGGGAGCAAACGGG
This 253-nucleotide ribosomal RNA is filed under the name uncultured bacterium. RNAcentral's name for it is "partial 16S ribosomal RNA". It matches the Rfam family "Bacterial small subunit ribosomal RNA", at positions 524 to 776 of the family's 1533-position model. The record is from RNAcentral.